This 509-nucleotide long non-coding RNA is filed under the name Equus caballus (horse). RNAcentral describes it as "lncRNA (ENSECAG00000059382.1)". Lineage: Eukaryota; Metazoa; Chordata; Mammalia; Perissodactyla; Equidae. The record is from RNAcentral.
CUUAGAUUCAAGCUGAGAUUCCUGCUACGCCACCCGUGACAUACUUCUGAAAAUCUCUCUCAAAUACGCAGCUAUCACAUGUUUUCCACCUUUGUUUCAGGUUCUUCAUUCUGCGUGUUGAUACUGCCAUAGUGAGCAAGAUCAAUAGCAGCCUGAUGACCUCAUUCUCUGAUUGACUUGGAAUCUAAAAAAGGAAGAUUAGCCCUGAGCGAACUACUGCCAAUCCUCCUCUUUUUACUGAGGAAGACUGGCCCUGAGCUAACAUCCGUGCCCAUCUUCCUCUACUUUAUACGUGGGAUGCCUACCACAGCAUAGUGUGCCAAGUGGUGCCAUGUCCACACCCGGGACCCGAACCGACGAAACCCGGGCCAUCGAGAAGCGGGACAUGCACACUUAACUGCUGCGCCACCAGGCCAGCCCCUCCAAGUCUUUAUUUUUAUACAAAGGCGGCCCAGUGUUUCGUUGGUUGGAAUCCUGGGCGCGGACAUGGCACUGCUCAUCAGACCACG